This 496-nucleotide long non-coding RNA is filed under the name Ananas comosus (pineapple). RNAcentral's name for it is "long non-coding RNA (ACOM_LNC015099)". Lineage: Eukaryota; Viridiplantae; Streptophyta; Magnoliopsida; Poales; Bromeliaceae. The record is from RNAcentral.
GCCCCGGGACCGAUACCAAUUUGGCCCGACCCGAGCACGUCAAACAGACGCCGAACGGACAGAGUUUCCCCUAUCUGCCCAAGGCUCAUCACAUGUACAUUUUCAUCAAUAGAGAAAAGCACUAGCGGAAACAUACACAAGCAGCUUACACGAAGGUAAGCAAUAGCCACAAGUGAAAGAAAAAGGAAACUAAACCUUUACAAGUACUAUGAUUCAUUUUUUAUCAUAUACAUUGCAUCCAUUUACAUUCAUGAUUCUUGUACUUCAUUACACAUUGCAUCAUUUCUUUCUUACAUCACAUUUACCUCAAAAUAAACUUUACAUUCUUUUCUCAAUAUCACUAGUCAUCAAAUACAAAUAUGAACAAAGGGUACUCUACCAACAAAAUGUAAACCCAACUCAACUCUGGUGGCCUCUGUCUAAGGCGCGAUACCUUUACCUCGGUCGCUCGCCGGCUCGCUCGGUCCCGGCUCUGUGGAAAUAGUGGGGUGAGAAC